Molecule: ribosomal RNA, 164 nt
Filed under: uncultured bacterium
Lineage: Bacteria
Description: partial 16S ribosomal RNA
Rfam family: Bacterial small subunit ribosomal RNA
Source: RNAcentral
UAGGGAAUCUUCGGCAAUGGACGAAAGUCUGACCGAGCAACGCCGCGUGAGUGAAGAAGGUUCUCGGAUCGUAAAACUCUGUUGUUAGAGAAGAACAAGGGUGAGAGUAACUGUUCACCCCUUGACGGUAUCUAACCAGAAAGCCACGGCUAACUACGUGCCAG